RNAcentral lists this ribosomal RNA (400 nucleotides) under uncultured bacterium. Its description in RNAcentral is "bacterial SSU rRNA". It matches the Rfam family "Bacterial small subunit ribosomal RNA", at positions 356 to 773 of the family's 1533-position model. The record is from RNAcentral.
GGGGAAUAUUGGACAAUGGGCGAAAGCCUGAUCCAGCGAUGCCGCGUGAGUGAUGAAGGCCUUAGGGUUGUAAAGCUCUUUUACCCGGGAUGAUAAUGACAGUACCGGGAGAAUAAGCUCCGGCUAACUUCGUGCCAGCAGCCGCGGUAAUACGAGGGGAGCUAGCGUUAUUCGGAAUUACUGGGCGUAAAGCGCACGUAGGCGGCUUUGUAAGUAAGGGGUGAAAGCCCAGAGCUCAACUCUGGAAUAGCCUUUUAGACUGCAUCGCUUGAAUGCAGGAGAGGUGAGUGGAAUUCCGAGUGUAGAGGUGAAAUUCGUAGAUAUUCGGAAGAACACCAGUGGCGAAGGCGGCUCACUGGACUGGUAUUGACGCUGAGGUGCGAAAGCGUGGGGAGCAAAC